ACUCCUACGGGAGGCAGCAGUGGGGAAUAUUGCACAAUGGGCGCAAGCCUGAUGCAGCCAUGCCGCGUGUGUGAAGAAGGCCUUGGGUUGUAAAGCACUUUCAGUCGUGAGGAAGGUGGUAGUGUUAAUAGCACUAUCAUUUGACGUUAGCGACAGAAGAAGCACCGGCUAACUCCGUGCCAGCAGCCGCGGUAAGUACGGAGGGUGCGAGCGUUAAUCGGAAUUACGUGGGCGUAAAGCGCAUGCAGGUGGUUGUUAAGUCAGAUGUGAAAGCCCGGGGCUCAACUCGGAAUAGCAUUUGAAACUGGCAGACUAGAGUACUGGUAGAGGGGGUAGAA
RNAcentral lists this ribosomal RNA (338 nucleotides) under uncultured bacterium. RNAcentral's name for it is "bacterial SSU rRNA". It matches the Rfam family "Bacterial small subunit ribosomal RNA", at positions 335 to 666 of the family's 1533-position model. The record is from RNAcentral.